AUUGAACGCUGGCGGCAGGCUUAACACAUGCAAGUCGAGCGGGGUGAUGGUGCUUGCACUAUCACUUAGCGGCGGACGGGUGAGUAAUGCUUAGGAAUCUGCCUAUUAGUGGGGGACAACACCUCGAAAGGGAUGCUAAUACCGCAUACGUCCUACGGGAGAAAGCAGGGGAUCACUUGUGACCUUGCGCUAAUAGAUGAGCCUAAGUCGGAUUAGCUAGUUGGUGGGGUAAAGGCCUACCAAGGCGACGAUCUGUAGCGGGUCUGAGAGGAUGAUCCGCCACACUGGGACUGAGACACGGCCCAGACUCCUACGGGAGGCAGCAGUGGGGAAUAUUGGACAAUGGGGGGAACCCUGAUCCAGCCAUGCCGCGUGUGUGAAGAAGGCCUUAUGGUUGUAAAGCACUUUAAGCGAGGAGGAGGCUCUUUUGGCUAAUACCCAAGAUGAGUGGACGUUACUCGCAGAAUAAGCACCGGCUAACUCUGUGCCAGCCGCCGCGUAA
This 502-nucleotide ribosomal RNA is filed under the name uncultured bacterium. Its description in RNAcentral is "partial 16S ribosomal RNA". It matches the Rfam family "Bacterial small subunit ribosomal RNA", at positions 30 to 522 of the family's 1533-position model. The record is from RNAcentral.